RNAcentral lists this small nucleolar RNA (72 nucleotides) under Drosophila willistoni. The record is from RNAcentral. Lineage: Eukaryota; Metazoa; Arthropoda; Insecta; Diptera; Drosophilidae.
AAUGAUGACAACUUCAUACCCAAAGCAGAGAAAUAAUGUUGAAAAAUCUAUUUAACAUGCAUCACCAUCUGA